CUACGUGCCAGCAGCCGCGGUAAUACGGAAGGUCCGGGCGUUAUCCGGAUUUAUUGGGUUUAAAGGGAGCGUAGGCUGGAGAUUAAGUGUGUUGUGAAAUGUAGACGCUCAACGUCUGACUUGCAGCGCAUACUGGUUUCCUUGAGUACGCACAACGUUGGCGGAAUUCGUCGUGUAGCGGUGAAAUGCUUAGAUAUGACGAAGAACUCCGAUUGCGAAGGCAGCUGACGGGAGCGCAACUGACGCUUAAGCUCGAAGGUGCGGGUAUCGAACAGGAUUAGAUACCCUGGUAGUCCGCACAGUAAACGAUGGAUGCCCGCUGUUGGUACCUGGUAUCAGCGGCUAAGCGAAAGCAUUAAGCAUCCCACCUGGGGAGUACGCCGGCAACGGUGAAACUCAAAGGAAUUGACGGGGGCCCGCACAAGCGGAGGAACAUGUGGUUUAAUUCGAUGAUACGCGAGGAACCUUACCCGGGCUUGAAUUGCAGAGGAAGGAUUUAGAGAU
This 504-nucleotide ribosomal RNA is filed under the name uncultured bacterium. RNAcentral describes it as "bacterial SSU rRNA". It matches the Rfam family "Bacterial small subunit ribosomal RNA", at positions 501 to 1007 of the family's 1533-position model. The record is from RNAcentral.